Molecule: ribosomal RNA, 1107 nt
Filed under: uncultured organism
Description: bacterial SSU rRNA
Rfam family: Bacterial small subunit ribosomal RNA
Source: RNAcentral
AAGUGGCGAAAGGGCGAGGAAUACAUGGAUAACGUGCCUUUGGCAUGGGGACAGCUGAGGGAAACUUCAGGUAAUACCCAAUGAGACCACAGUGCUUUCGGGCACGGGGGUCAAAGAUGGGGCUCCUUCGGGACCUAUCGACCAUAGAGCGGUCCAUGUCCUAUCAGCUUGUUGGUGAGGUAAUGGCUCACCAAGGCGACGACGGGUACCGGGACUGAGAGGUUGACCCGGCGCAUCGGGACUGAGACACUGCCCGGACUCCUACGGGAGGCUGCAGUAACGAAUAUUGGUCAAUGGGCGAAAGCCUGAACCAGCGACGCCGCGUGUGGGAGGAAGCCCUUCGGGGUGUAAACCACUGUCAGGGAUUACCAAGCAAUGGAGGCUAAUACCCUCCUGCGUUGAGGCGUCCCAGAGGAAGUCACGGCUAACUUCGUGCCAGCAGCCGCGGUAAUACGAAGGUGGCGAGCGUUGUUCGGAAUCACUGGGCUUAAAGAGCACGUAGGCGGACUGCCAAGCGUCUUGUGAAAUCCCCCGGCUCAACCGGGGAAUUGCUGGGCGAACUGGUAGUCUUGAGGCAAGUAGGGGCAGAUGGAACUCUUGGUGGAGCGGUGGAAUGCGUAGAUAUCAAGAGGAACGCCAGAGGCGAAGGCGAUCUGCUGGGCUUGACCUGACGCUGAGGUGCGAAAGCCAGGGGAGCAAACGGGAUUAGAUACCCCGGUAGUCCUGGCCAUAAACGAUGUCCACUAGAUCGGUGAACUUCUGACAGUGUGCCGGUCGAAACAAAAGCGUUAAGUGGACCGCACUGGGGAGUACGGUCGCAAGGCUAAAACUCAAAGGAAUUGACGGGGGCUCACACAAGCGGUGGAGCAUGUUGCUUAAUUCGAUGCAACGCGAAGAACCUUAUCCUGGGCUUGACAUGCUUGGAUGCCCAUCUGGAAACAGGAGUAAGGCUGCCACCCUUCGGGGGGUGAAACUUGCACAGGUGCUGCAUGGCUGUCGUCCAGCUCGUGUCGUGAGAUGUUGGNNGUUAAAGUCCCGUAACGAGCGAACCCUUGUCGUUAGUUGCCAGCGCGUAAUGGCGGGGACUCUAGCGAGACUGCCGGUGUU